ACAUUGGUGGUUCAGUAGUAGAAUUCUAGCCUUCCAUGCAGGAGACCCAGGUUUGACUCCCAGCCAGUGUA
RNAcentral lists this transfer RNA (71 nucleotides) under Loxodonta africana (African savanna elephant). It matches the Rfam family "tRNA". Rfam says of the family: Transfer RNA (tRNA) molecules are approximately 80 nucleotides in length. Their secondary structure includes four short double-helical elements and three loops (D, anti-codon, and T loops). Further hydrogen bonds mediate the characteristic L-shaped molecular structure. tRNAs have two regions of fundamental functional importance: the anti-codon, which is responsible for specific mRNA codon recognition, and the 3' end, to which the tRNAs corresponding amino acid is attached (by aminoacyl-tRNA synthetases). tRNAs cope with the degeneracy of the genetic code in two manners: having more than one tRNA (with a specific anti-codon) for a particular amino acid; and 'wobble' base-pairing, i.e. permitting non-standard base-pairing at the 3rd anti-codon position. Lineage: Eukaryota; Metazoa; Chordata; Mammalia; Proboscidea; Elephantidae. The record is from Rfam by way of RNAcentral.